GAUUUAGAGAAAAAGGGGUAAAAAUUUAGAUUCUGGGGGUGUUUUUGAAAAGAAAAUCAGAAACUGGGGUCAAAAUAUAAUUUAGGAAAGUUGUGCCACGUGAGCAACCCCGGCCAACCAGAACACGCCGCGUGGCAAGGAAGCUAACGCGGGAGGCCACGCGGGACAGAGCCACGUGGGUGAUCCGCGUGCACGCGAUCGAACGGUCCAGAUCUCACGCGUGCGGACGGCCCAGA
Molecule: long non-coding RNA, 236 nt
Filed under: Carica papaya (papaya)
Lineage: Eukaryota; Viridiplantae; Streptophyta; Magnoliopsida; Brassicales; Caricaceae
Description: long non-coding RNA (CPAP_LNC002687)
Source: RNAcentral